AGGGGACAUCCGCGAUCGCCCCGUGAGGCUUCGGCCGAAGCAUCGC
RNAcentral lists this non-coding RNA (46 nucleotides) under unclassified sequences. The record is from RNAcentral.